This 1713-nucleotide long non-coding RNA is filed under the name Lotus japonicus. Its description in RNAcentral is "long non-coding RNA (LJAP_LNC000652)". The record is from RNAcentral. Lineage: Eukaryota; Viridiplantae; Streptophyta; Magnoliopsida; Fabales; Fabaceae.
AAAGAAGUAGCCUGAGAGCAACCCUCUCAAGACAUGGGAAACAUAGAUACAAUGCUAACAAAUCCCUUCCCCCGAACAUCCAAGCAUAGAGAUCGUGCCUCGUUAAAACCUUCUCUAGGAAAAACCCAUUUGGGGAAAAAAACUUAGAGAAGGAAAAAGAGUACACUAUCUCUAUGAGAUUUUAAAACCUGAACCAUCUUAAUAUAUCCAUAUGCACUUGAGAUAUUCCAAAGUGGCAACAAAACCCCACAACAAAAUAUAAAGCAUCCCCUUAAAGAACAGCCAAAGUAAUCAGUAGCAUAUGCCUAGCACAUAACAUCCUUCUUGCAAUACUUAUCCAAAAACAGCUUCAACAUGCCAAUAUACGUUGUGGAAGCCCCUCUCACCCUUUGACAAAGUAAGAUCUCAAACACAGACCUGCCACAGUACAACCCUCCCAUCCCUUCCACUCUUUGCCAAGAAAUCUGCUACUUCGUUUGCUUCCCUCAACACAUGAACAAUGCCAACACAAUUAAUCAAGGGCUGAAGUAGAUCAAUUUUGCUCAGGAUCUGAUGCAACUUCCAUGGCCUCCGCGAAUCAUUACUUGCCCAUCCCACCACUGAGGUUGAUUCACUUUCACUUAGAGUUGUGCUAAUUUUUAGGGUUUUCGGGUUUUCAGCCGAUUAUAUUAAGAUAAAAAAAAUUAAAUGAAGGAAAUUCAAUUAUACCAUCCAAACAAAGAAUUUUACAGUUGAGGGAAUUUCACCAUUUUAUCCAAACAAUAAAAUUUGAAACAAUCAAUUGAAUUCCCUUGCAUUUAAAAUCCUUGGAAUUUUCUACAAUCCCUCAUCCAAACACAACCUUACAGUUUUGCACUUUGGACAUUUUCGUUUGUACAUCCCCUUCUCUUUCUUCUUUUUUAUGUUAAGUUAUUAUCUGUUGUUUGUUGUGCCAACAGUAUAACACUAUCUUAUCUCUUAUCAUAUCUUGUCCAUCAUGUGUAAAAGUUAUCCUGAGGGGGAGUUAGGAUAUAACAUGAUAGAAUACCAGUUAUAUAUUUUCUUUUAGUAUCCUAACUCGAAAUUAAUUUAUUUUAAUAUUAUAUAAUUUAUAAUAAUAUUAAUUAAUAAAUAAAAAAUAUUGAUUUACCAAAAUAAAUAAAAUUACUAUUCAUAAAUAGUAAAAUAGACUACUCACUUACAAAUAUUGAUUUAUUAAUAGUAAUAGACUAAUUUAAUAUUUUCAUCUUCUAUUAUUUAAAAUAAAUUUAUCUACUUAUAUAAUAAUUUAAAUAUAAAUUACUUUUUUUUUUUACAACAUAUGAUAUUUAUUGAUUGAAAGAAGUAGCCUGAGAGCAACCCUCUCAAGACAUGGGAAACAUAGAUACAAUGCUAACAAAUCCCUUCCCCCGAACAUCCAAGCAUAGAGAUCGUGCCUCGUUAAAACCUUCUCUAGGAAAAACCCAUUUGGGGAAAAAAACUUAGAGAAGGAAAAAGAGUACACUAUCUCUAUGAGAUUUUAAAACCUGAACCAUCUUAAUAUAUCCAUAUGCACUUGAGAUAUUCCAAAGUGGCAACAAAACCCCACAACAAAAUAUAAAGCAUCCCCUUAAAGAACAGCCAAAGUAAUCAGUAGCAUAUGCCUAGCACAUAACAUCCUUCUUGCAAUACUUAUCCAAAAACAGCUUCAACAUGCCAAUAUACGUUGUGGAAGCCCCUCUCACCCUUUGACAA